Frieseomelitta varia is the source of this 574-nucleotide long non-coding RNA. RefSeq lists it as uncharacterized. NCBI's taxonomy places the organism in Eukaryota, Metazoa, Arthropoda, Insecta, Hymenoptera, Apidae. The transcript has 2 exons. The record is from RefSeq and is a predicted model, not a curated record.
AUUUUGGAAAAACAGAAUUUAGAGAUCAGCGAUGCGUUCAAAUAUUCUGAUGAAGUUUCCAAGAGUCAGUUUCUUUUCACGACGUCGCUCUAUCGCAAUCAAAAUCUCCAGACAAAUAAACAGCGACCAAGUUCCCAGCCAUUGAUCGUAAGCAAUAUAAAUAUGCUUGCUUCCUAUGUGAUGUAGGUACAAUUCUAAGAAAUGGGCCUGUGAUAUAUGCCAUUGAUUACGUAAUACGAGGCUACGUAAUUUAGGCAGGCAAUUGAUAACGGUUAGAGAACGGAAAGGCAUCACAUUUCUUGAAUCCUGCCGCUGAAUCAUUCAACAUACUUACCUAAACAAUUGCUAGGAACAAGAAAGAAUGAAAUGAAGAUCUAAUAUAGCACAUCCUGCAAAUAUCGAAGCAGUUAAGGAUUAAAUUUCUUUCAAACAAGAAAGGACAAGAAUUGAAGUAGUAGGAAUCAAUUAAAAUCCUUCCAUCAGGCAUCCAUCCUUCUAUGAAUCUGCAAACCUAGAAGAAUAUUCAUCUUUCAUUAAGUUUCACACAACUAUUCCAAUAUAUGAUUUAUACUUA